Molecule: long non-coding RNA, 204 nt
Filed under: Mytilus galloprovincialis (Mediterranean mussel)
Lineage: Eukaryota; Metazoa; Mollusca; Bivalvia; Mytilida; Mytilidae
Source: RNAcentral
UAAUUACAUUAGAUGUAUGUUUCAUUAUAAUACUUUAUUCUGAUUGGCUAACUGCACAUCACGUGUUAUUCCGUAAGCAGUUGCAGUGCUCAAUACAACUUUUCAUUCAUGAUAACACGUGGUCCAACAAUAAAGUGCACAGGUGAAUUAAAUAAAAAAAAUAUAUAAAAUUCGUGUUUUCAUGAUCAUAGCUAAAAAAUGUAA